GACAUUUUGGUGUUUUAGUUUUGAGAAAUGUUGACAAUUAUCGGUUCUCCAAUGGGACUGAUGCUCACAGCAUCUUAUAGCGCCAUGGUCAGGUUAAUAUUGGAGUGAAUGGAUGGCCAGAGCAGUUGCUUUGAGCAUCUAAUAUUGCCGCAGAUGGUUUUACAUUGGAGUUAGUUGAAAGCCUGAUGCGUCUCAUACAGACGCUCAAGGGUACCUUGUGCGUCUGUAUGAGACACCAAGGGGCAUGACAAAACGUUGGUAUUUGACUACCUGGAAAUGAGAACGGGUUGGUGUUGGAGUUCUUGUAGACUCUCUCUCUCUCCACUGGCUCCUCAACCACCAGCUGUGCUUCGCUGUGAAACGGUUUGAGGUCACACGACCAAUUAGCUGUUUUAGUAAAACCCCUCAGACCGAGAAGAGAGGAGUCAAACUGUGACCUCACCCCAAAGUGGGUAUCUUCAGCGUCCAUACCGCAACCGGAGGGGCCCACACCUGUCAAUCAGUGACUGUCAGAGGGGAGUGUGAUAAGUUUAGUGGACCAGGACCAGGUCGAAUGAUACAGUGCUUAUUCAUGCAGGUGCUCGUAAGUGGCACCACAGUGGGCACCAACAAAGUGUUAUGGAUAGAUGUUUUUCAGAACCAACCAGAGAACAAAGUUCACCAUUAAGUGGAUUGGCCAACAGUGGCCAACAGCUUAUUCCAUGUUCAUCAGAUAGUGUAACUUUACUCUUAUAUCUAGCAUUAGCUGUGCAUGUUCUAUAGCAAACAAAUCCACUGCAUUUACAUAAUGUAGGAGGGCAAAAUAUUAGAAACACCUCAGUAUGAUGCAGUCCCGUACAACUCAAUACUUUGACUAUGACCUCAUUAAUUAACAUAUAAUUGAAUUAACACAUCUCAGACUAUCAGAAUAUCAGCAAAAACUGAGCACUGUAAGCUUUGUACAUGUAGAUUUUAUGGCAGGGCUGUUGGUAGUUUCAGGUAGAUUUUAUGGCAGGGCUGUUAAUAGUUUCAUUUAGGUUGGCUGUUUUUAUAAUUACAUUUUCUUUUUUAACAUUUUGGUUCUGUUCUGAAACAGGUCUACAGAAAACUUUGGAUACUGCUGCAAAGGAGAGGGAGGACCUGAAGCUGUGAAGGCCAGCCAUUAUUGACCACCUGUACUGGACUGCAGCUUCCACUCUAAUGGAGAUCCAUUAGAGGGUCAGUUUGUCGUCAUUUGCAUCAGCAGUGGUGUGUGGUUUAAAUGUCAGGUGUCCCAACCUUGUCUCCUGUGCUUCUCCUGAGUCUCUUGGAUUUAUUUCUGCAUUUGCUUGGACCUCGCCUGGAUUUUUGGAUUGCCUGCUCCAUGUCCGAUUUGUUUGCCUGUCUUGGACUGCCCUCCCAAUUUGGACCUCUGCCUACCUGACUAUACUUGCAAGCCUUUCCCUGUAAUAAAUUAAUGAACUGCAUCUGCUCUGCCUCCAAGUCUGCAUUUGGGUCCCAUUCCUUGUGUUCCCUGCUCCCGUGCGUGACAUCCACAAGACAAUUUAUCAAGUCCAGUUAUUUAUUUAUUUCUAAACUGCAUUUUCAAAUAGAUUUUGAAAUUAUUACUUAUACUAUCUUAUUACUAAUUACUUAUUAAUUCAUUAAUGUAUUUUAAAAUGAUGUACUUAUUGACUGUUUUAAUGUUUUUUGUAAAUCCCUUUUUAAAUUGAACUAUUUAUUGAUGGAUUAAUAUUUCAUUUGUAUGUUCUUUUUAUAAUUCCUCUUUUUAUUGCCCAUAAAAUAUCAAAUAAGAAAUUACUUUGUAAUUGUAAAUGGUAAAUGGACUGUACUUACAUAGCGCCUUUCUAGUCUUUCUGACUACUGAAAGUGCUUUUUAAUUGUCUAUUUAUUCAUAGAUUAAUUUUGUAAAGACAUUUAUUAAUGCCUAUUAUUGAUUAAUGAAUGCUGCAUUACCAUUUCCGUGACACUUGUGGUCCUUGGUUUACAGGUGUUGGAGCAUUAUCUGAAAAAAAAAUUGUAUAAAGCCUUUUGUGGCUUGGGGAGGAGCUGUGUGAAGUCUGACAAAUGUCCUCAAUUGAUGUCACUUGAGUGAGUGUCUGUUGGGGCUGAAGACUACAAAGCUGAAAAUGAGAAAUCUGUGGAGUUAGAAAGAAGUGAGCUUCCUUUGACAAGGAGGAAGAAUGUGUGAAAUAAAGAUAUCUCUUGUUCUCCUGCA
This is a long non-coding RNA of Siniperca chuatsi (mandarin fish), 2197 nucleotides long. RefSeq lists it as uncharacterized. The record is from RefSeq and is a predicted model, not a curated record. The transcript is spliced from 2 exons. Lineage: Eukaryota; Metazoa; Chordata; Actinopteri; Centrarchiformes; Sinipercidae.